RNAcentral lists this ribosomal RNA (459 nucleotides) under uncultured bacterium. RNAcentral describes it as "partial 16S ribosomal RNA". It matches the Rfam family "Bacterial small subunit ribosomal RNA", at positions 338 to 795 of the family's 1533-position model. The record is from RNAcentral.
CCUACGGGAGGCAGCAGUGAGGAAUAUUGGUCAAUGGGCGGGAGCCUGAACCAGCCAAGCCGCGUGAGGGAAGAAGGUACAGCGUAUCGUAAACCUCUUUUGUCAGGGAACAAAGGCGGGGACUAGUCCCCGGCUGAGGGUACCUGAAGAAAAAGCAUCGGCUAACUCCGUGCCAGCAGCCGCGGUAAUACGGAGGAUGCGAGCGUUAUCCGGAUUUAUUGGGUUUAAAGGGUGCGCAGGCGGCCUGUUAAGUCAGCGGUAAAAGCCCGGGGCUCAACCCCGGCGAGCCGUUGAAACUGGCGGGCUGGAGUGGGAGAGAAGUACGCGGAAUGCGCGGUGUAGCGGUGAAAUGCAUAGAUAUCACGCAGAACCCCGAUUGCGAAGGCAGCAUGCCGGCUUCCGACUGACGCUGAAGCACGAAAGCGUGGGGAUCGAACAGGAUUAGAUACCCCUGUAGUC